This 563-nucleotide ribosomal RNA is filed under the name uncultured eukaryote. RNAcentral's name for it is "SSU rRNA". It matches the Rfam family "Eukaryotic small subunit ribosomal RNA", at positions 21 to 587 of the family's 1831-position model. The record is from RNAcentral.
UGUAGUCAUAUGCUUGUCUCAAAGAUUAAGCCAUGCAUGUCUAAGUAUAAGCAAUUAUACGGCGAAACUGCGAAUGGCUCAUUAAAUCAGUUAUCGUUUAUUUGAUAGUACCUUGCUACAUGGAUAACCGUGGUAAUUCUAGAGCUAAUACAUGCUAAAAAUCCCGACUUCGGAAGGGAUGUAUUUAUUAGAUUAAAAACCAAUGCCCUUCGGGGCUCUCUGGUGAUUCAUAAUAACUUCUCGAAUCGCACGGCCUUGCGCCGGCGAUGGUUCAUUCAAAUUUCUGCCCUAUCAACUUUCGACGGCUGGGUCUUGGCCAGCCAUGGUGACAACGGGUAACGGAGGGUUAGGGCUCGACCCCGGAGAAGGAGCCUGAGAAACGGCUACUACAUCCAAGGAAGGCAGCAGGCGCGCAAAUUACCCAAUCCCGACUCGGGGAGGUAGUGACGAUAAAUACCGAUACAGGGCUCUUUUGGGUCCUGUAAUUGGAAUGAGUACAAUUCAAAUCCCUUAACGAGGAACAAUUGGAGGGCAAGUCUGGUAAUCGAAUCCCGCGGCCGCCA